Molecule: long non-coding RNA, 353 nt
Organism: Solanum stenotomum
Lineage: Eukaryota; Viridiplantae; Streptophyta; Magnoliopsida; Solanales; Solanaceae
Exons: 2
Source: RefSeq, a predicted model, not a curated record
GAUGACAAUAGCUAAUCGCAGAAACCAACUGAGUCAGAAUAGCCGCGGCAGCCGAUUCUGACAACGACCCAGAUGAAACCCUUUCGUAUAAAUCACUAUUCGGGCAGAAAUCGGUUACCAUGUGAAGGAAAUCGUCAUCUUCAUAAACCUUGUAAAGAUGGAGAAUGUUGGGGUUACCGGAAAGGAGUUGAAGAAUUUUGGGUUCUUUAUCGAGACACUCACGGUCGGUGGAAUCAAUGAGGAGGUUUUUGUCGAUAGAUUUACAGGCGAAGGAUUCUCCGGUCGCCGGAGAAAAGCAGCGGUAGACGGUACCGAAUCUACCACGGCCGAUUUCUUCGCAAAUUUGAAAUUCG